RNAcentral lists this unclassified non-coding RNA (257 nucleotides) under Peroneutypa scoparia. RNAcentral describes it as "partial contains small subunit ribosomal RNA, internal transcribed spacer 1, and 5.8S ribosomal RNA". RNAcentral also lists the same sequence under 1 other name. The record is from RNAcentral. Lineage: Eukaryota; Fungi; Ascomycota; Sordariomycetes; Xylariales; Diatrypaceae.
UCUCCGUUGGUGAACCAGCGGAGGGAUCAUUAAUGAGUUUUCUAAACUCCAAACCCUUGAGAACAUACCUAGUUGCCUCGGCGGACUUGCCCUGGGACGACCUACCCUGCAGCGAGUUACCCUGUAACGAGUUGCCCUGUAGAGACCUGCCCUGUAGCCUGCCCGCCGGCGGCCAACCUAAACUCUGUUUUAUUGUGGCACUUCUGAGGAUUAUUCUAAAUGAAUUAAAACUUUCAACAACGGAUCUCUUGGUUCUG